UACGUAGGGUGCGAGCGUUAAUCGGAAUUACUGGGCGUAAAGCGUGCGCAGGCGGUUUUGUAAGGCAGAUGUGAAAUCCCCGGGCUUAACCUGGGAAUGGCAUUUGGGACUGCAAGGCUGGAGUGCGGCAGAGGAGACUGGAAUUCCUGGUGUAGCAGUGAAAUGCGUAGAUAUCAGGAGGAAUACCGAUGGCGAAGGCAGGUCUCUGGGCUGACACUGACGCUCAUGCACGAAAGCGUGGGGAGCAAACAGG
RNAcentral lists this ribosomal RNA (253 nucleotides) under uncultured bacterium. RNAcentral's name for it is "partial 16S ribosomal RNA". It matches the Rfam family "Bacterial small subunit ribosomal RNA", at positions 524 to 776 of the family's 1533-position model. The record is from RNAcentral.